GAUUAACGCUGGCGGCAUGCCUAAUACAUGCAAGUCGAACGGAAGCAGCAAUGCUUUAGUGGCGAACGGGUGAGUAACACGUAGGGAACCUACCUAUACGACGAGGAUAACUACUGGAAACGGUAGCUAAAACUGGAUAGGAUCAAUUGAGGCAUCUUGAUUGAUUUAAAGAUCCUUCGGGAUUACGUAGAGAUGGCCCUGCGGCGCAUUAGCUAGUUGGUGAGGUAACGGCCCACCAAGGCGACGAUGCGUAGCUGAGCUGAGAGGCUAAACAGCCACACUUGGGACUGAGACACGGCCCAGACUCCUACGGGAGGCAGCAGUAGGGAAUUUUCGGCAAUGGGGGAAACCCUGACCGAGCAAUGCCGCGUGAACGAUGAAGGUCUUCGGAUUGUAAAGUUCUGUGAUUGGGGAAGAAUGGUAUUCUUAGGGAAUGAGGAGUACAUGACGGUACCCGAUUAGAAAGCCCCGGCUAACUAUGUGCCAGCAGCCGCGGUAAAUACG
RNAcentral lists this ribosomal RNA (504 nucleotides) under uncultured bacterium. RNAcentral's name for it is "bacterial SSU rRNA". It matches the Rfam family "Bacterial small subunit ribosomal RNA", at positions 28 to 527 of the family's 1533-position model. The record is from RNAcentral.